CAGACGAACGCUGGCGGCAGGCCUAACACAUGCAAGUCGAACGAGAAGCCACCUUCGGGUGGUGGACAGUGGCAGACGGGUGAGUAACGCGUGGGAACGUGCCUUUCGGUUCGGGAUAACCCAGGGAAACUUGGGCUAAUACCGGAUACGCCCUCCGGGGGAAAGAUUCAUCGCCGAAAGAUCGGCCCGCGUCGGAUUAGCUAGUUGGUAGGGUAAUGGCCUACCAAGGCGAUGAUCCGUAGCUGGUCUGAGAGGAUGACCAGCCACACUGGGACUGAGACACGGCCCAGACUCCUACGGGAGGCAGCAGUGGGGAAUAUUGGACAAUGGGCGAAAGCCCUGAUCCAGCCAUGCCGCGUGGGUGAAGAAGGCCUUAGGGUUGUAAACCCCUUUCAGCGGGGAAGAUAAUGACGGUACCCGCAGAAGAAGUCCCGGCUAACUCCGUGCCAGCAGCGGC
RNAcentral lists this ribosomal RNA (457 nucleotides) under uncultured bacterium. RNAcentral describes it as "bacterial SSU rRNA". It matches the Rfam family "Bacterial small subunit ribosomal RNA", at positions 28 to 518 of the family's 1533-position model. The record is from RNAcentral.